RNA transcript from Haplochromis burtoni (Burton's mouthbrooder), 1228 nucleotides. RefSeq lists it as uncharacterized. Lineage: Eukaryota; Metazoa; Chordata; Actinopteri; Cichliformes; Cichlidae. The transcript is spliced from 3 exons. The record is from RefSeq and is a predicted model, not a curated record.
GGAAACAUCUGUGCUGUGUCUGCUCUGUAAGUAGAAUCUCUGUGUUUGUUUGAAUUCUUGUACUUUGACUGUCUGCUCUCCUGAUAACUGAUGAUGGAGGAGAAGACAUGAAAAACAAAUCAGGCUGAAUUCAAGUUCAAACACCACGAGGACCAACUGCAGGUCUGAACUGACUCUUUAUCUUUGCUCAGGAGUCGAGGAAACACAGCAGGCAGUGAAAAGAUCAAAUCAUUCACUCAUUAUAUCAACACAGCUGCACAGUGGACACAUGACUUUACUGUGUAAAGUAGUGAAAAGUAGUGUUUUAUAUAUGCUUAGAACAUUCAAUGCACACUAUCAAAACAAUAACUUUAAGUGUUGUUUUUUAGAAUAUAAUCUUAGAGUCAACAUAAUUAGUCCGACCUGUGUCACCUGAAUCAAAUUCACCAACAAAACUUUUUGUUCUAUUCAAUUAUUAACAAAAACAAUAUAUAAAGAUCUGUAAAUUAUAUUCUAAAAUGGCACAACAGCACAUUUGCUGAAAAAGUGGUGAGAACUUAUUUUUUAAAUCAUAUCUAAUAGUACACACGUCACAGUGGUGCAGUGGUUCGAGUCAGUUGUGAUGUUUGGUUAACUGCUGAUUUUAGGUCUGAAUGUGACACAAAUCUUUCUAAACAAUUGGCCCAAAUUUAGAGACAAAGUGCCAGGACAUGUGUUAUUUGAAUUGGUUCCAGAGUUCAUUCUGUUUGAACUAGUCAAGAUAGAUUCUACGUUUAGUUUUUUUGAGACCCCUAGACCCAGAAGAGUGUAUUAUCUGUGUUUGUCAGCUGUUUGUGUGCAGUUGUUCUUUAUCUUCAGCUCAAAUCAACCUGAGUGUCAUUUCUCUUUAGUUCUGAUCUCACUGCUGAGCUGCACAACAAACCAAGCUCGUCUGACUGUGAGUCCCAGCAGCUCUCAGUUCUUUGAAAGAGAUUUUGUGUCUCUGAGCUGUGAGGAGGACGACAGCUCUGCUGGAUGGACUCUGAGGAGAAACACAGCAACAGACAACAGAGCUGAGUGUGAGGAAUGGGGAACACCAGCUGGUUCUUCCUGUAACAUCAGUCACAUCUACUCAUUAGAAAGUGGAGUUUACUGGUGUGAGUCCAGAGAGGGUCCCAUCAGUAACAUGGUUAACCUGACAGUCACUGGUGGAUCAGUGAUCCUGCAGAGUCCUGUCCUCCCUGUGAUGGAGGGAGAUGACGUCACUCUG